Molecule: small RNA, 125 nt
Filed under: Marmota monax (woodchuck)
Lineage: Eukaryota; Metazoa; Chordata; Mammalia; Rodentia; Sciuridae
Source: RNAcentral
GCUGGGCACCGCAGCGCACGCCUGUAAUCCCAGUGGCUCAGGAGGCUGAGGCAGGAGGAUCACGAGUUCAAAACCAGCCUCAACAAUGGUGAGGCCCUAAGCAACUCAGUGAGACCCUGUCUCUA